RNAcentral lists this ribosomal RNA (406 nucleotides) under uncultured bacterium. Its description in RNAcentral is "partial 16S ribosomal RNA". It matches the Rfam family "Bacterial small subunit ribosomal RNA", at positions 30 to 526 of the family's 1533-position model. The record is from RNAcentral.
AUUGAACGCUGGCGGCAGGCCUAACACAUGCAAGUCGAACGAGUGGCGGACGGGUGAGUAAUGUCUGGGAAACUGCCUGAUGGAGGGGGAUAACUACUGGAAACGGUAGCUAAUACCGCAUACCAUCGGAUGUGCCCAGAUGGGAUUAGCUAGUAGGUGGGGUAAAGGCUAACCUAGUCGACGAUCCCUAGCUGGUCUGAGAGGAUGACGAGCCACACGGGAACUUGGACACGGUCCGUACUCCUAGGGAAGUCACCGGUGGGGAAUAUUGCACAAUGGGCGCAAGCCUGAUGCAGCCAUGCCGCGUAGAUGAAGAAGGCCUUCGGUUUGUAAAGUACGUUCAGCGGGGAGGCGUUACCCGCAGAAGAAGCACCGGCUAACUCCGUGCCAGCCGCCGCGGUAAUAC